RNAcentral lists this long non-coding RNA (2600 nucleotides) under Mus caroli (Ryukyu mouse). Its description in RNAcentral is "predicted gene 27196 (MGP_CAROLIEiJ_G0003142.1)". Lineage: Eukaryota; Metazoa; Chordata; Mammalia; Rodentia; Muridae. The record is from RNAcentral.
AGCCGGUGGAACCGAGGUGCCUAGAAGCCGUCUGGCUUGCACUUCCCGAGGACGGAGACAGCGCAGUAACCACUCAAGGCUUCCUACAGAUGCUCACCCCUGCCCCAAGCAAGUUCGCUAAGCCUCCCGGAAGGCUGAGGUCCCGAGGGAAGUGGCAGGGAGGGAACUCCGUUCUCUUUGCUCACGUUUAGACUCUGAACCGGAGCUGGACAGCAUUGAGACCACACCUGGUCAGCAAAAGGGCAACCUGAUAGCCAUCGCGAGGGAACGUGGGGGCAAAGAAGCCACAGUAGAGCUACGAGGAGCUCGAUUUGAAGGUCCCCCAACUCUGACACGCUGGACCCCACCACUGGAAGUGCCUCCUGGAGCCAGUGCAUCGAGAAGGAACGAUUCUUAGGACCUCAGAUCCGGUGUCCUCUGCGGGAACACACCAAGACUCUAGGCCAGAAAAGGGUUGAGCUGCGGAAGCCCUGAGAUCUAGCCUUACUUUCCCACCCCAAUUCCUUAGAACAAUCCCUGCACCUGGAUUUCCACAUCUCAUCCCCAUUCGAACAGGUGAGCCCAUCAGAACCCAUCAUCCUAUCCUUGCGUGAGCCCUCACUGAGGGCUCCAACUACCCAGCCAGGAGACAGCGCCAGACCUAUGCAGUUACUGGUAGGAACUAGAAUCCAGCAGGGUAUAGUGCUAGUGCCCUGGUAACGAUCAGGGACACCCUAGAACUGUUUGCAGAAUCAGCAGGUUGCUGCCACCCUCCUGGUUCCUCUUCUUGUCCUGUUCUGCAUCCAUCCCUAGGACUGUGACCGAUCAGACCCCAGAAUGGGAAGGAUGAAUGAAAGAACGCAGGAUUCUCCACUUGGUCCCAGCGCAGCUGCUGCCUCGGAAAGAGCCCUGUGCCUGCAGCCGUCCCUUCAUGUUGCUCUGUACUUGUUAUUCCGAGGUCAGGGAACACUAGCUUGGAGUGAAAUGGGUGCUGGGUGAGCUGAGAUGUGGGCCAUUGAGUGUCAGCUGCUGCAGAGGCAGUGGGGCGGGGGCCAUGUAUGGCUAGACUAGGGAAGGGGCGGCUCCACACUGUUGGGCAUCUGGCUUGCCGCCAACAAUGCCUCCAUUAUUUCCCAACGUCCAUGGCAGUGAAAUGGCCCUUGGGGAAUCAGAGUUCAAGCGGGAGACUUGGCCUGGGGAUUCUUGCUGCAAGCCAAAGCAGUUCUGGAAGCUGUGGGACAUUCAAUCUCUAGGGCCAGCCCCAGGCCUUUCUGGUCACUGCUGACCCUGUAGCUUUCCUGUUCUCCUGCCUGCGGUCACCUUGUACUUUUUUCUCCGCAGCCACUCCCUCCUAGUCACCCCUCUGCAUUCUGUCUCUUCUCUUCUUCCUGCCUGGCAUGGAGACCUGUAGGUUGCAAUGGCUCUUACCUGGAGUCCUGUUGAAGGUACAGAGGGCAGAAGCUCCAGGGGCACCGGGCCUCUCUCGGUGGCAAUCGAGUUCUGUUUCUAGCAGCAUGGCAGUCACUAAUCCAGUGGUUCCUGCCGGGUGUUCCUGGAGUGCUGGACCUCUUUCAGGCCUUGGCCCACUCGCUGGGCUGGCGCUGUCCGCGGUGCUGAAGGAGGCACCAGCGUGCUGGGGACCUUCACAAGCCUGCCCCGCCCCUCCUCUGUCCCCGCCCUUGGCCCCUUCCAGGCCUGGGCAGGCGGAGUCAGGCUGGCGUCACUCUAGGGCUGGGUCUGACUAGUUUAUAAUUCGAGGUAGCCUUUUCUCAGAACCUUCCUUUACCUAUUACAGAGUAGCAUAGUGGCUCCAACUUGCUCUGUCGCGGGCUCUGGGCCUUGGCUAGAGGUGCCACGUUCAUAGUACUUGGGUUUGGGAGCCUCUGAGCUGUUAGCCUGGGACUGCGCUCCUCACCCACUCGGUGGAAUAGAUUCUGGGCCCAAAGGCCUUUUGCUUGCAGGCACAGGUCAGAAGCCUCCAACUACGAACUCAACCACCUGCAUCCAGUACUCUGAAGGCAGAUUUUAGUCCCUUUUCUCCAACCCCUACUUCCAGAAAAGGGUCAUGUAUGCAAACCCACCAGCUACUGAAGAGCUGAAGGGGUCCUGAGCAGAAGUUCCCAGGUGCCUGCAGGGCAAUCUGCCCCAGGCUGGGCACAGAUGGGAGGGAAAUUUGGCGAGAGGCUCAACAGCUUUCUAGGUUGACUGGCUGGUCCUCCCAGGCUCUGUGGGUUCAGAGACAGUCUGAGGAUGCAGCUCUCAGCAUAGUCCAUUCUCACUUCACUUUCUGCCUGACCUCUAGGCUGUCUUCCCGAACGCCUCUAGUUUAUUUAUACAAAAAAUUCUUAGAACCUCAGCGUUGUGUCUGCAAACUAGAUGGGAGAAAAGGGUUUGGAGAAUUCCCUGAAUCCAGCUUUACAUAAAGCUGCUCACAUUUCAAAAAAAAACUGAAAACAACUUUACUAAAUGUCAAAUUUCUUUAUUCUUACAAUGUGCACAUUAGAGUUUACUUAAAUACAAAAUGUACCCCUUCUUUAAGAAAUUUCAUUGACAUUUUCAUGCCAAUUGCUUUUUACUCAAAAUCUUUUCAUUAAAAAAUAAAUAAACAUUUAAAUUACUGA